Molecule: ribosomal RNA, 415 nt
Filed under: Prevotella nigrescens
Lineage: Bacteria; Pseudomonadati; Bacteroidota; Bacteroidia; Bacteroidales; Prevotellaceae
Description: bacterial SSU rRNA
Rfam family: Bacterial small subunit ribosomal RNA
Source: RNAcentral
GAUGAACGCUGGCUACAGGCUUAACACAUGCAAGUCGUGGGGAAACGGCUAUUGCUUGCAAUCGGACUCCGGCGACGGUGAUAUCGCGACAACUCCCAUGGGGUACCCUAAGAGGCUAUCCCUGUGUCUGAGACGAUGAAUCAAGUUUCCGGUAGGGAUGGGGAUGCGUCUGAUUAGCUUGUUGGCGGGGCAACGGCCCCCAAGGCGACGAUCAGUAGGGGUUCUGAGAGGAAGGUCCCCCACAUUGGAACUGAGACACGGUCCAAACUCCUACGGGAGGCAGCAGUGAGGAAUAUUGGUCAAUGGACGCAGCUGAACCAGCCAAGUAGCGUGCAGGAUGACGGCCCUAUGGGUUGUAAACUGCUUUUAUGGGGAUAAAGUGGCGCACGUGUCGCCGUUGCAUGUACCUCAUGAU